This 384-nucleotide long non-coding RNA is filed under the name Chinchilla lanigera (long-tailed chinchilla). RNAcentral's name for it is "lncRNA (ENSCLAG00000022450.1)". The record is from RNAcentral. Lineage: Eukaryota; Metazoa; Chordata; Mammalia; Rodentia; Chinchillidae.
GCUCAACAGUCAUGGGCCUUUCAUUUUGGACAGCAUGAAGGAGGGAAUUUCCCAUCUUUCACAGCAAAAUUUUUUAGCUAGAGUGUCGGGAGGACCUGGCCUAGAAAACGUCCCCUGGGACUACAAAUGGACAUAGCUGAUCUUGUCUCUGUAAGGAUAGAUAAAGAAGAGGGAAGCACCAUCACAAGAAGCAGUCCUAGGGGAGAGACGCCAAGGAAGGCUGGAAGUCUGGGAUGGAGGGAUUGCAGAUGGAACAUGAAUGGAAUCCAAAUGGCAAGGAGUCACUGUCUCUGCAAAAAUGGGAAGCACCCUGGGCUGGGAGGUGAGAGAUGUGAGUUCCGGUUGUGAGCAUCUACAUGACUCUAUCUGGCCUUAGGCAGCUCC